AAUAAAGUGAUGACAACAAAUUGCUAAAUUUUUCAUGUUGAAAAUUGAACUCUCUCACUGAUAUU
This 65-nucleotide small nucleolar RNA is filed under the name Bombyx mori (domestic silkworm). RNAcentral describes it as "Bm_1". Lineage: Eukaryota; Metazoa; Arthropoda; Insecta; Lepidoptera; Bombycidae. The record is from RNAcentral.